Molecule: unclassified non-coding RNA, 345 nt
Filed under: soil metagenome
Description: partial contains 5.8S ribosomal RNA, internal transcribed spacer 2, and large subunit ribosomal RNA
Rfam family: 5.8S ribosomal RNA (bases 1-120)
Source: RNAcentral
GAUGAAGAACGCAGCGAAAUGCGAUAAGUAAUGUGAAUUGCAGAAUUCCGUGAAUCAUCGAAUCUUUGAACGCACAUUGCGCCCUCUGGUAUUCCGGGGGGCAUGCCUGUCCGAGCGUCAUUUGCAACCCUCAAGCCCGGCUUGUGUGAUGGGUGCCGUCCCCUACGGGACGCGCCCCGAAGGCAAUGGCGGCGUCGCGGUUAUCCGAUCAGCCAAAGUGUAUGGGGCUUUGUCACUCACUUUACGGCCCGGACCGGCGCCAGUCCGACUCAAUCUUUUUUCUAAAGUUGACCUCGGAUCAGGUAGGGAUACCCGCUGAACUUAAGCAUAUCAAUAAGCGGAGGA